Long non-coding RNA from Lotus japonicus, 323 nucleotides. RefSeq lists it as uncharacterized. The transcript has 3 exons. Lineage: Eukaryota; Viridiplantae; Streptophyta; Magnoliopsida; Fabales; Fabaceae. The record is from RefSeq and is a predicted model, not a curated record.
CCGUUCUCGGUUCACGCCGUUCUCUGUCACGCGCACUUCUCUCUCUCGAGCACCAUUGCAAAGCCCAGAUUUAUUCGAAGUUGAAGAUCGAAGAGCCAAGCUGAUUGCCACUGACUUAGAGGACCAGUCUGAUUCUAAAUAUCCAGGUAUGGACCGUAAAUGGAUGUUUGCUAAUCGCUUAUCCGAUGAAUAUGCUGCUGGGGUGAAAGAGUUUGUUAAAUUUGCGGUUCAAAAUGCAAAGAACCCAAAUAGUUUGCUAUGCCCUUGUUUAGUUUGUUGGCAUGGUAUUCGAGUUAAUCCAUCUGAAUUAGAAGAUCAUCUAA